This 1916-nucleotide ribosomal RNA is filed under the name Opegrapha cf. viridis Ertz 7807. RNAcentral's name for it is "partial large subunit ribosomal RNA". It matches the Rfam family "Eukaryotic large subunit ribosomal RNA", at positions 72 to 1408 of the family's 3401-position model. Lineage: Eukaryota; Fungi; Ascomycota; Arthoniomycetes; Arthoniales; Opegraphaceae. The record is from RNAcentral.
GGAUUGCCUCAGUAACGGCGAGUGAAGCGGCAACAGCUCAAAUUUGAAAUCUGGCGCCCCUGCGCGGGGAGUCCGAGUUGUAAUUUGUAGAGGAAGUUCCGGUGUCGGUCCCGGGCCAAGUCCCUUGGAACAGGGCGUCGUGGAGGGUGAGAGCCCCGUACGCCCGGGCAGCCGUCGCCGUCCGGAGCUCCUUCGACGAGUCGAGUUGUUUGGGAAUGCAGCUCCAAGCGGGAGGUAAAUUUCUCCUAAGGCUAAAUAUCGGCCAGAGACCGAUAGCGCACAAGUAGAGUGAUCGAAAGAUGAAAAGCACUUUGGAAAGAGAGUCAAAAAGCACGUGAAAUUGUUGAAAGGGAAGCUCUUGCCGUCAGACCCGCCGCGGUUGCUCAGCCGCCCCUCGGGGCGGUGUACUCUUCCGCCGGCGGGCCAGCGUCGGCUCGGGCGGCCGGACAAAGGCCCCAGGAAUGUGGCCCCCCUCGGGGGGUGUUAUAGCCCGGGGUGUAAUGCGGUCAGUCCGGGUCGAGGAGCGCGUUCGCGAGGACGCUGGCGUAAUGGCGACAAGCGACCCGUCUUGAAACACGGACCAGUAAGUUUUCAAUGUCUUCCCGCCGCUUGACGGGGCCGUAUGGUGACCAAUCGACCGCUAACUUUUAUUUGCAGAGGAGUCUAACGUCCGCGCGAGUGUUUGGGCGUCAAACCCAUGCGCACAAUGAAAGUAAACGGAGGUGGGAACCCCGCGAGGGGCGCACCAUCGACCGAUCCUGAUGUAUUCGGAUGGAUUUGAGUAGGAGCGCGAACGUUGGGACCCGAAAGACGGUGAACUAUGCGUGUAUAGGGUGAAGCCAGGGGAAACUCUGGUGGAGGCUCGCAGCGGUUCUGACGUGCAAAUCGAUCGUCAAAUAUGCGUAUAGGGGCGAAAGGUAUGGUCUUUCUCAUACAUUCCUUAUGUUUAAAAGGGUCUUUUAAGAUGGAAAGCUAACUUAAAUCCUAUAGACUAAUCGAACCGUUCUACUAGGCGGUUUAGAGAUGGGCCGGGCGUAAAAGACGCCGGGAUAUAUCUAGCUAGCCCUGGGGCCUUGACAGCCCUGGGAUCAACGUGAUCAAUCUGCGGGGACGCUCCAUUAAAUAGGGGCCCUAGCUACCGCGGCCGUGUGGCGUUCUCGCCAUGCGGUGCAGCACUAAGACAUAGGGGCUUAGGGACGGUAAUAACGCUAGAGGUCCGGGGGUAAUCCGCAGCCUCCCUUCUUCUCUAACGCCUCGCUUUGAGGUUGCGGUUUAGGGGUUUGGUUCACAGACUAGAGGAUCACGGGUGCCGUUGAGGCGCCUAAGAUAUAGUCGAAGGCCCCCGAAAUUAACGGGCUUACUUAUUAUGAGGCGUGGAGCAUGAUAGCUAGUAGCUGGUUCCCGCCGAAGUUUCGUAAGUCGCAGCUACCUUGUCCCUAACAUCCUAUGGGUAUACGCUAACAUAUGUCCCUACUGUAGCCUCAGGAUAGCAGUGACGUCUUCAGUUUUAUGAGGUAAAGCGAAUGAUUAGAGGCCUUGGGGUUGAAACAACCUUAACCUAUUCUCAAACUUUGAAUAUGUAAGAAGCCCUUGUUGCUUAGUUGAACGUGGGCGUUCGAAUGUACCGUCACUAGUGGGCCAUUUUUGGUAAGCAGAACUGGCGAUGCGGGAUGAACCGAAAGCGGGGUUAAGGUGCCGGAGUGGACGCUCAUCAGACACCACAAAAGGUGUUAGUUCAUUUAGACAGCCGGACGGUGGCCAUGGAAGUCGGAACCCGCUAAGGAACGUGUAACAACGCACCGGCCGAAUGAACUAGCCCUGAAAAUGGAUGGCGCUCAAGCGUCCCACCCACACCCCGCCGCCGGGGCAGGAACGAUGCCCCGGCGAGUAGGCGGGCGCGGGGGUCCGUGACGAAG